AACGAACGCUGGCGGCAUGCCUAACACAUGCAAGUCGAACGAGACCUUCGGGUCUAGUGGCGCACGGGUGCGUAACGCGUGGGAAUCUGCCCUUGGGUUCGGAAUAACAGUUAGAAAUGACUGCUAAUACCGGAUAAUGUCUUCGGACCAAAGAUUUAUCGCCCAGGGAUGAGCCCGCGUAGGAUUAGCUAGUUGGUGAGGUAAAGGCUCACCAAGGCGACGAUCCUUAGCUGGUCUGAGAGGAUGAUCAGCCACACUGGGACUGAGACACGGCCCAGACUCCUACGGGAGGCAGCAGUGGGGAAUAUUGGACAAUGGGCGAAAGCCUGAUCCAGCAAUGCCGCGUGAGUGAUGAAGGCCUUAGGGUUGUAAAGCUCUUUUACCCGGGAUGAUAAUGACAGUACCGGGGGAAUAAGCCCCGGCUAACUCCGUGCCAGCAGCCGCGGUAAU
This 450-nucleotide ribosomal RNA is filed under the name uncultured bacterium. RNAcentral's name for it is "bacterial SSU rRNA". It matches the Rfam family "Bacterial small subunit ribosomal RNA", at positions 29 to 524 of the family's 1533-position model. The record is from RNAcentral.